GUGUAAAUCAAGUUGGGUGGCUAGACUAUGGUUAGCCAACAUCUGAAUGACAAACUGAAAGAAACGAUGGGGAGGUGGAACAGAAUUAUUCCCUGACUCUAACAGCAACUUAGGACUAAAGGGGCAUAAAAUCGUUUAUUCGUUUUAAUUGCCACACCAACCAACGAAAUACAAAAUAUCCAACUUCUUAAAAUCUAUCUCUAGUAUGAGGAACCUCCACACAGAUUCAAUUUUCUUACAUCAGUUCUAACUACCUGCUGUUCACUUUUUCAGGUAGCUUCUUCUAGAUAGCUGGCCCGGCACCAAAAUUAAAACAGAUACCCUGUGAUCAUUCAGUAGAGGGGAGAGCAGAAGGUUUUUCGGCAUUUUGUUUUUGUUUUUAACAAGUGCCAUCCUGUUCCUCUGCUCUGCUGAGGAACCACCAAGAAAAAGAGGAAGGAAGAGGGGAAAGGGAGGGGGCUCCUUCAGUCCAUGUCCUCCCAGAUCCAGGUAAGACGGGACGCCUUCUCUCUCAACGCCAAAAAGAUGUUGGCUAUAAAGGGAAACCAAUGGGAUGCUCCCCACCUCCAAAAAAAAAAAUUGGGAGAAUUUUUGCAGGACGGAAGGGGCUCGUGACUUCACCUCGAUGCGUGAUUAGAUGUCGUGGGGGUGGGAAUCCCAGCGACUGCCCGCGUUGCCCCGCAGACGGGGAUGGGAGGGCAUGGGGUUUCCUUUCCUCUUGCGCCCGGCGAGGGGGUGGGGUGCUGUCUGGUCCCUCGAGGGGGACGGAGAGACUGUAGUGGGGUCCUCGCGCUCUCCCUCCUACACCGCUCGGGCCAUGGCAACCCUCCCCCCUCCCUCCCCGUUACCUGUGGGGGACGGUGACGACGACAGUGCUGGGGCCCGGCGGCCUGGUCCUCCUCCUCCUCCUCCUCCUCCUCCUCCUCCCCGCCCGACGGAGGCGGCGGCGUCGGCGGCAGCGACAGCCCCAGGGGGAGGGGGCGGAGCGCACGGUUGGCUCGCUCUCCCUCUCUCCUCCCCCGGGCGGAGGCGGAGGGGACCCUAUCUCGGGCCGCCGCGCCUAGGCCCGUGGAGAGCCUGCGGCUCGGGCAUGGCGGCGACGGCCGAGCUGUCUCGGAGGUAUUUACUGAUGUGCACCCCGCAGAAUGCGCUAACCUGGCCCCACAACCAGGAGGGAGACCCAGUUUUUACUUUGUGAUGUUCUAAGGAGGGAUUUCCCGCGGCCAAAUGCAAGCUUGACUUUCCAUUACAAGCGAAAAGAAGCUAUUUUCUGCAGAGAGAUUUCUUACCGGUCUCCGGAGCUGCCAAGCGCGGUAGUCUUCCUCGCCCCUGGACGAUUCUGGUGGUCUGAAGACCCUACCCACUUAUUCACAUAUCAAAUGCGCCUCGAAGUAGGGUAGUUGCACUGGAGUACGCCCGGAAGCCACAAUUUCCCUUAGCACUUUGCUGGGGUGUCCUGCAGACGUAUACGAUGCUGGGCUCCCUGGGUUCCUCGAACAUAGCUUUCGUUUUUUCUUGCUUGACAUUGCUGUUAAUUAGCUGUUAAUUGCACUCCUCCAGACCCAGGGUCACAUGAAUUCUCCUAUAAAUUUAUUUCCUGAGCCUGCCUUUGAAUUAAAAACAAAAACAAACUAUUCUGUAAGCUCAUUGAGGGUAGGGACUUCCUACCUUCCUUUUCUUUUCUCUCUCAAUAAAUGUUGUUAAUAAAUGCUUCUUAAACUGAAU
This 1725-nucleotide long non-coding RNA is filed under the name Phascolarctos cinereus (koala). RNAcentral's name for it is "lncRNA (ENSPCIG00000031099.1)". The record is from RNAcentral. Lineage: Eukaryota; Metazoa; Chordata; Mammalia; Diprotodontia; Phascolarctidae.